This 516-nucleotide long non-coding RNA is filed under the name Gossypium raimondii (Peruvian cotton). RNAcentral describes it as "long non-coding RNA (GRAI_LNC000958)". Lineage: Eukaryota; Viridiplantae; Streptophyta; Magnoliopsida; Malvales; Malvaceae. The record is from RNAcentral.
GAUCAACCUUGAAUAUUGUAUAUUCAGUAAGCAACUAUAUGCAGCAGUAGUUUAAUCAACAACAACAAACAAAAAUUUCCCACUAACAUGCAUCUGCUGCAUUGAUCUAUGUUACUCUCUUUCAGGUGCCCUGACAUUAGGCUAAAACACUUUGAAACUGCAUAACUAUCACGAAGGAAGGUUAUAAAUUUGAAACAAUGUUUACCACAAAGGUUAUACUUUGAACCUUACACUUUGAAGGGUUUCAUUAGGUAUAAUAAAAAGGAUAAAAACUUAUGUAAUUAUUUAGAAAAAGUACAAUGGUUGUAUCAGUAUUUCAUCCAAAACGGAAGGUUUCGACUAAGAAACUGCAUAACUAUCACGAAGGAAGGUUAUAAAUUUGAAACAAUGUGGCGAAAGCAAAACAUCAACAUUUCCUCUUUGCAAAUGAAUUAAAACUACAGAAGCUUAUAUAUACCACUAUAUUGUUGAAUUAUCUCUACCAUUAUUGUUUAUCAUCAGGACUCUGAUCCUCCC